CCAGCCGGCCGGGCGGCCGCACCUGCAAACGCCGAAAGGCCGCGGGUGAGGAAAGUCCGGGCUCCAUGGAAACACGGUGCCGGCUAACGGCCGGCGGGGGCGACCCCAGGGAAAGUGCCACAGAAAGCAAACCGCCACGGUUUCCGUGGCAAGGGUGAAAGGGUGGGGUAAUAGCUCACCGCGCGACCGGCAACGGAAGCGGCACGGCAAACCCCACCGGGAGCAAGACCGAAUAGGGGCGGUGCGAGGGGAAACCUUCGAGGGCUGUUUCCGGCCCACCGUCCGGGUAGGUUGCGUGAGGCGCAUGGCAACAUGCGUCCAAGAUGAAUGGCCGCCACGUUCUCGCGCCGCAAGGCGGAGGGCCAUACAGAACCCGGCUUACAGGCCGGCUGGCAUU
RNAcentral lists this RNase P RNA (397 nucleotides) under Mesorhizobium sp. Its description in RNAcentral is "RNase P RNA component class A". It matches the Rfam family "Bacterial RNase P class A". Rfam says of the family: Ribonuclease P (RNase P) is a ubiquitous endoribonuclease, found in archaea, bacteria and eukarya as well as chloroplasts and mitochondria. Its best characterised activity is the generation of mature 5'-ends of tRNAs by cleaving the 5'-leader elements of precursor-tRNAs. The record is from RNAcentral. Lineage: Bacteria; Pseudomonadati; Pseudomonadota; Alphaproteobacteria; Hyphomicrobiales; Phyllobacteriaceae.